AUAUGUACCCGAGCUAUGAUACUUCGGGCUCUAGGCAGUACGCGGCUACCUUGACACGCGAACUGUACGACGACGUGACCACCUUUGGACGAUCACUAUCGUCUGGACCUCUUCUUCAACAUCGUCCAGUGGUACAGCCCUUCUUGGAAAGAAUUCAGAAUAAGAUACGGACUGUGUACGAGGCUAUCACGUGCACCCGGAGAACCGAUGUUGUUCAGCACGAGCAGGAGCAGCCGCGUCACUCCAUGCAACGACAUCAACCACGUCCACGCCUAGCACAACAGCCGACAACCAUGCCACCCCGUCCUGCCAACCUGGCAGUUCUACGUGGCACCCGCAGCACUAUGGUCCCACGUCGAGCUUCGUGUUUUCUCCACAGCCACAGCAACACGGUCCCUCGUCGAGCUUCGUGUUUUCUCCACAGCCACAGCAGCACGGUCCCUCCAGUUUCGUGUUUCAGCCAGAGCAGACGUCACACCCAGCAGGGGCCUAUGGAUAUCAGGCGUCUAUGUCGGCAUCACAUGAUACGUGGGGGAGUGAUCAACAUCCCGAGGACAACAUACAGGCUCAGAUGUCGCAGCACACCCAGUGGAUGAACAUGUUUUCGACUCCUCCACCAGGCCCCACACAGGAUACACAGCAUGACCAGGGAGAGUCUGAGAUUCCUCCUCGUCACGUUAGGGCAC
This is a long non-coding RNA of Triticum aestivum (bread wheat), 686 nucleotides long. RefSeq lists it as uncharacterized. Lineage: Eukaryota; Viridiplantae; Streptophyta; Magnoliopsida; Poales; Poaceae. The record is from RefSeq and is a predicted model, not a curated record. The transcript is spliced from 3 exons.